CCUACGGGUGGCAGCAGUGGGGAAUAUUGCACAAUGGGGGAAACCCUGAUGCAGCAACGCCGCGUGGGUGAAGGAGCGUUUCGGCGCGUAAAGCCCUGUCAGCGGGGAAGAAGAAAGACGGUACCUGUCGAAUAAGCCACGGCUAACUACGUGCCAGCAGCCGCGGUAAUACGUAGGUGGCAAGCGUUGUCCGGAUUUACUGGGUGUAAAGGGCGUGUAGCCGGGCUGACAAGUCAGAUGUGAAAUCCGGGGGCUCAACCCCCGAACUGCAUUUGAAACUGUUGGUCUUGAGUAUCGGAGAGGCAGGCGGAAUUCCUAGUGUAGCGGUGAAAUGCGUAGAUAUUAGGAGGAACACCAGUGGCGAAGGCGGCCUGCUGGACGACAACUGACGGUGAGGCGCGAAAGCGUGGGGAGCAAACAGGAUUAGAUACCCCGGUAGUC
This 441-nucleotide ribosomal RNA is filed under the name uncultured bacterium. RNAcentral describes it as "partial 16S ribosomal RNA". It matches the Rfam family "Bacterial small subunit ribosomal RNA", at positions 338 to 795 of the family's 1533-position model. The record is from RNAcentral.